CGUUCGUGCUAUACGUUAGAAAAACGAUAUGGUUCGCGGUCUGAGCGCCGCGUUUGCGUCAAAUGUACGUUCGCGGAGUGCAAACGUUCACGAAACGCCCGUGUGAGGUUGACGUAAUGAUGAGCAUUGACAAAAAAUAUUUAAAGUCAUCUUUUUUCGAUGAACAAAUAGCUCACGGAAUAUUGCAACAUCAAUUCAAAAAAGCAAUACCAGCAUACCUACUUAAUACGUAAUACUUUUAAUUACACGUGUCUAAUACUUACUCAGAAUUAGGUACCAUACAUAUUUCGUCCGUUGAAGCCCUCGUACGUUUGAACCUCAAGAUAUAUUUCAGAAUUACUGUGAUUUACCAAAAAGCCUACUUAUUAAAAAUUAAGUAGAAGAUCCACGAUCUGCACCGAUACACAGAGGAAGUUAUUUCAACAACUUACAACAAAAAGUCAAAAAGGGAAUCGCUCUCUUGCUGCGAUUCAUGAGUGAAAAUUCAAGAAAGUACUAUUAAAGUCAACGAUCACUCUCGAGAUACGAGGUGACUACCAUUCUUUAUCGACUUGAAGCUAGCCAGAUGACGAGUUGAUGUAGACCCUUAAAUGAUUAUACUCGGGUUGAACUUAUAAUCAUCUUUAAGGACUCUCCACAUCGACGCUACUCGCGCAGUCGAAGAGCUCCUGAUUUCCUGCUUCAAAUAAUUGUAUGUAACUACUUUUAAUUUAUCUCUCUCUCUCUGUCUGAUUAAGAGAAAGCCUGUGCCCAGCAGUUUAUGUUAAGUUAUAAUAUUAAUUAGUAUUUAGAUCGCCUUAUAGUCUAUAGGUUUUACUCAAUUCGUCUCAUAAUUAAAACAAUAUCACAAAAGUGUCUUUAUAGAUUUUGGUAGGAAGGUUCUUUUUUUUUGAACCAUUUUCGAUUUUAUUUAAAAUGGGUUACUGCUCUGUGUGUAAUGUUAAUGUUAAUGGAAGACAGUGGACUGGACAUUUCCGUAGCAGUAAGCACAAAAAUAAUUGUACUGCUCCGCUUUAUGAUAACGUAGAGAUCAUAACAUCCGCUUUUAAAGGACGUAUAGUAAGUUAUCGAAUUAUUGCAUCUAAUGAAGAAGCAAAAAACUUACCUUCUUUAUUUUUAAACAACAUUCGUAAACAAAUUAGAUCUCUUGUAAAUCACGCCUUACAAG
Pectinophora gossypiella (pink bollworm) is the source of this 1168-nucleotide long non-coding RNA. RefSeq lists it as uncharacterized. The transcript is spliced from 5 exons. NCBI's taxonomy places the organism in Eukaryota, Metazoa, Arthropoda, Insecta, Lepidoptera, Gelechiidae. The record is from RefSeq and is a predicted model, not a curated record.